GUGUGCAUGUAUCUAGGUGACCGCCGUUCGUCUUACGCACGAAAACCUCAGCGGUGUUUGGUCGUCGAGUGUCUGGAACUCAAAUCAGACACUCAAUUACCCGAACACCACUGAGACCUCCAGGGCUCCGUAACUCCUGAACGGGAAGACUAAUCAGCCCCCCAUUCGGUAAGUUAAAAGUACCGAACAAGGGGAUUCAGACGAAUGCAAUGUUAAUCGUGAAUGUCAGGUUUUUAUGUGUGUUUUACCUCCCAAACGGAGACCGACCGCAGGGCCAGAUCAGGGCUACCAGGGGGUGCCACUUAGCCCCUUGUACCUAACUGUUUUGGGGUACAUCCAGAACUCGGGGGAAAUUGCAGCAGAUAUAAUGGGAUUAUGUGUCACACUGAGGGGAGGAGAUGUGUGGAAGGUAACUGACAUUAUUGGUUACUGUCCUUAUUAUGAUGAAUCCCUCCCUUGCAUGGGAGAAUGCUUUACAAGGAGGUUGUGUGGAUUAAAAGUUCUGCUCUGCUCCUGAUGCUGUGUGUCAUCCAGUCAUUGGGAUCUGUAUGGGGAUAUUCGUGUAUUACCCUGUUUGCUGGAAUUAUUACUUUAUGGUAUUUUUACUACUUGUUCCUGAGCCUCACUGGGAUCUUUGGUGGAGUUAACCUGUGGAAU
This is a non-coding RNA of Pelobates cultripes (western spadefoot toad), 657 nucleotides long. Lineage: Eukaryota; Metazoa; Chordata; Amphibia; Anura; Pelobatidae. The record is from the annotation of a GenBank genome assembly.